RNAcentral lists this ribosomal RNA (493 nucleotides) under uncultured Desulfobulbus sp. RNAcentral describes it as "bacterial SSU rRNA". It matches the Rfam family "Bacterial small subunit ribosomal RNA", at positions 891 to 1382 of the family's 1533-position model. Lineage: Bacteria; Pseudomonadati; Thermodesulfobacteriota; Desulfobulbia; Desulfobulbales; Desulfobulbaceae. The record is from RNAcentral.
GCUCAGAAACUCAAUGAAUUGACGGGGCCGCACAAGCGGUGGAGUAUGUGGUUUAAUUCGAUGCAACGCGAAGAACCUUACCUGGUCUUGACAUCCCGGAGACCCUUAGGAAACUAGGGGUGCUUCCAUCUGGAAGAAUCUGGAGACAGGUGCUGCAUGGCUGUCGUCAGCUCGUGUCGUGAGAUGUUGGGUUAAGUCCCGCAACGAGCGCAACCCUUGCCUUUAGUUGCCAGCAGUUCGGCUGGGCACUCUAAAGGGACUGCCGGUGUUAAACCGGAGGAAGGUGGGGAUGACGUCAAGUCCUCAUGGCCUUUAUGACCAGGGCUACACACGUACUACAAUGGCCGAUACAAAGGGCAGCGACACUGCGAGGUGAAGCCAAUCCCGUAAAAUCGGUCUCAGUCCGGAUUGGAGUCUGCAACUCGACUCCAUGAAGUUGGAAUCGCUAGUAAUCGUGGAUCAGCAUGCCACGGUGAAUACGUUCCCGGGCCUU